RNAcentral lists this ribosomal RNA (510 nucleotides) under uncultured bacterium. RNAcentral's name for it is "partial 16S ribosomal RNA". It matches the Rfam family "Bacterial small subunit ribosomal RNA", at positions 28 to 507 of the family's 1533-position model. The record is from RNAcentral.
GACGAACGCUGGCGGCGUGCUUAACGCAUGCAAGUCGAACGAAGAGCGAUGGAUGCUUGCUUCUAUCAAUCUUAGUGGCGAACGGGUGAGUAACGCGUAAUCAACCUGCCCUUCAGAGGGGGACAACAGUUGGAAACGACUGCUCAUACCGCAUACGAUCUAAUCUCGGCAUCGAGGAUAGAUGAACGGUGGCCUCUACAUGUAAGCUAUCACAGAAGGAGGGGAUUGCGUCUGAUUAGCUAGUUGGCGGGGUAGCGGCCCACCAAGGCGAUGAUCAGUAGCCGGUCUGAGAGGAUGAACGGCCGCACUGGGACGGAGACACGGCCCAGACUGCUACGGGAGGCAGCAGUAGGGAAUCUGCCGCAAUGGGCGAAAGUCAGACGGCGCAACGCCGCGUGAGUGAUGACGGACUUCGGGUUGUAGAGCUCUGUUAAUCGGGACGAAAGGCCUUCUUGCGAAUAGUGAGAAGGAUUGACGGUACCGGAAGAGAAAGCCACGGCUAACUACGUG